GAUGAACGCUGGCGGCGUGCCUAAUACAUGCAAGUCGAGCGAACAGACGAGGAGCUUGCUCCUCUGACGUUAGCGGCGGACGGGUGAGUAACACGUGGAUAACCUACCUAUAAGACUGGGAUAACUUCGGGGAACCGGAGCUAAUACCGGAUAAUAUAUUGAACCGCAUGGUUCAAUAGUGAAAGACGGUUUUGCUGUCACUUAUAGAUGGAUCCGCGCCGCAUUAGCUAGUUGGUAAGGUAACGGCUUACCAAGGCAACGAUGCGUAGCCGACCUGAGAGGGUGAUCGGCCACACUGGAACUGAGACACGGUCCAGACUCCUACGGGAGGCAGCAGUAGGGAAUCUUCCGCAAAGGGCGAAAGCCUGACGGAGCAACGCCGCGUGAGUGAUGAAGGUCUUCGGAUCGUAAAACUCUGUUAUUAGGGAAGAACAAAUGUGUAAGUAACUAUGCACGUCUUGACGGUACCUAAUCAGAAAGCCACGGCUAACUACGUG
Molecule: ribosomal RNA, 497 nt
Filed under: uncultured bacterium
Lineage: Bacteria
Description: partial 16S ribosomal RNA
Rfam family: Bacterial small subunit ribosomal RNA
Source: RNAcentral